RNAcentral lists this ribosomal RNA (497 nucleotides) under uncultured bacterium. RNAcentral describes it as "partial 16S ribosomal RNA". It matches the Rfam family "Bacterial small subunit ribosomal RNA", at positions 28 to 507 of the family's 1533-position model. The record is from RNAcentral.
GAUGAACGCUGGCGGCGUGCCUAAUACAUGCAAGUCGAGCGAACAGACGAGUAGCUUGCUCCUCUGACGUUAGCGGCGGACGGGUGAGUAACACGUAGAUAACCUACCUCUAAGACUUGGAUAACUUCGGGAAACCGGAGCUAAUACCGGAUAAUAUAUUGAACCGCAUGGUUCAAUAGUGAAAGACGGUUUUGCUGUCACUUAUAGAUGGAUCCGCGCCGCAUUAGCGAGUUGGUAAGGUAACGGCUUACCAAGGCGACGAUGCGUAGCCGGCCUGAGAGGGUGAGAGGCCACCCCGGAACUGAGACACGGUCCAGACUCCUACGGGAGGCAGGAGGAGGGAAUCGUCCGCAAUGGGCGAAAGCCUGACGGAGCAACGCGGCGUGAGUGAUGAAGGUCUUCGGAUCGUAAAACGCUGUUAUUAGGGAAGAACAAAUGUGUAAGUAACUAUGCACGUCUUGACGGUACCUAAUCAGAAAGCCACGGCUAACUACGUG